GCAGCGACACUAUGUGUUGUUGGGUAGGGGAGCGUUCUGUAAGCCUGCGAAGGUGUGCUGUGAGGCAUGCUGGAGGUAUCAGAAGUGCGAAUGCUGACAUAAGUAACGAUAAAGCGGGUGAAAAGCCCGCUCGCCGGAAGACCAAGGGUUCCUGUCCAACGUUAAUCGGGGCAGGGUGAGUCGACCCCUAAGGCGAGGCCGAAAGGCGUAGUCGAUGGGAAACAGGUUAAUAUUCCUGUACUUGGUGUUACUGCGAAGGGGGGACGGAGAAGGCUAUGUUAGCCGGGCGACGGUUGUCCCGGUUUAAGCAUGUAGGCUGGUUGUCCAGGCAAAUCCGGAUAAUCAAGGCUGAGGUGUGAUGACGAGGCACUACGGUGC
This 378-nucleotide ribosomal RNA is filed under the name Klebsiella pneumoniae. RNAcentral describes it as "partial 23S ribosomal RNA". It matches the Rfam family "Bacterial large subunit ribosomal RNA", at positions 1205 to 1585 of the family's 2925-position model. Lineage: Bacteria; Pseudomonadati; Pseudomonadota; Gammaproteobacteria; Enterobacterales; Enterobacteriaceae. The record is from RNAcentral.